Long non-coding RNA from Myotis lucifugus (little brown bat), 683 nucleotides. RefSeq lists it as uncharacterized. Lineage: Eukaryota; Metazoa; Chordata; Mammalia; Chiroptera; Vespertilionidae. The transcript has 3 exons. The record is from RefSeq and is a predicted model, not a curated record.
GCAUCGGCCCCUGGCCGCCCCUGCACCCUGCCCAGGAGGCCCUGUCCAUCCCGGCUCCUGGUGCCACCGCAGUGUAUCCCCGAGGUGGCCUCUGGGCCCCGCGUGGACGUCCUCCCAGGGGCUUGAGGACUGGCCGGAGCCUCAGUGCCCGUCCCCGUGGCCAGAGCAUUGGAGUCAGAACAAAAGCGAGAGCCGGGGGCCGAAGCUUCCCCUUGAGUCUGGGUUUCCCCGUGUGCGAGGCAGGGGUAGGAUUGGGGUGCCCGCGCCGGGGUCAGCACUGACCGUGUCCUGCUCGCCUCCUGCAUGCCACCCCUCGGCCGCGGCCACUGACCCUCUCGCGUGGUGACGGGCUGUGUCCAUUAACCUCGGAUCCUUCCUCCUUUGACCUCUGACCCGUGGUCUUGCCUCUUGUUCCGCGCCCUCCUUAGCCCCUGAAGCUCAUGAACCAGAGGAGGUCCAGGAAGAAGACGCCGCGGAGGAGGAGCGGGAGGACGAGGAAGGUAAGGGCCUCGGUGCCGUGAUGGCGCCCGCGAGAGGGGAGGACGCGCUUGCCCGCUGGCCGCCUGCGCUCCGCCUCGCCGGCUCUCCAUCCCUCUCCCUCCAAGGACAGGCCGGGCUGGGGCCUCGCUGGCGGGCGCUGUCCCCUCGGAGCGUCUGCAGGCACAGGGGGGCGGGGAGGUGGU